GGAAGUGUGCCUGAAAGAGGACCUCCUGGAGGAGGGUUCAAACCCCCUCGCUUCCU
RNAcentral lists this transfer RNA (56 nucleotides) under Osteocephalus mutabor. Its description in RNAcentral is "partial tRNA-Ile". RNAcentral also lists the same sequence under 3 other names. Lineage: Eukaryota; Metazoa; Chordata; Amphibia; Anura; Hylidae. The record is from RNAcentral.